This 253-nucleotide ribosomal RNA is filed under the name uncultured bacterium. RNAcentral's name for it is "partial 16S ribosomal RNA". It matches the Rfam family "Archaeal small subunit ribosomal RNA", at positions 474 to 727 of the family's 1478-position model. The record is from RNAcentral.
UACCAGCACCCCGAGCGGUCGGGACGUUUAUUGGGCCUAAAGCAUCCGUAGCCGGUUCUACAAGUCUUCCGUUAAAUCCACCUGCUUAACAGAUGGGCUGCGGAAGAUACUAUAGAGCUAGGAGGCGGGAGAGGCAAGCGGUACUCGAUGGGUAGGGGUAAAAUCCGUUGAUCCAUUGAAGACCACCAGUGGCGAAGGCGGCUUGCCAGAACGCGCUCGACGGUGAGGGAUGAAAGCUGGGGGAGCAAACAGG